This 475-nucleotide ribosomal RNA is filed under the name uncultured bacterium. RNAcentral's name for it is "bacterial SSU rRNA". It matches the Rfam family "Bacterial small subunit ribosomal RNA", at positions 28 to 497 of the family's 1533-position model. The record is from RNAcentral.
GAUGAACGCUAGCGGCAGGCUUAACACAUGCAAGUCGAGGGGCAACACGGGUAGCAAUACCUGGUGGCGACCGGCGCAAGGGUGCGUAACGCGUGAGCAACAUGCCCUAUACAGGGGGAUAAUCCAGGGAAACUUGGUCUAAUAUCCCAUAGUAUUUAGAGGUGGCAUCACCACUAAAUUAAAGCUUCGGUGGUAUAGGAUUGGCUCGCGUGACAUUAGCUGGAUGGUGGGGUAACGGCUCACCAUGGCGAUGAUGUCUAGGGGUUCUGAGAGGAAGACCCCCCACACUGGGACUGAGACACGGCCCAGACUCCUACGGGAGGCAGCAGUGAGGAAUAUUGGACAAUGGAUGGAAAUCUGAUCCAGCCAUGCCGCGUGCAGGAAGACAGCCCUAUGGGUUGUAAACUGUCUUUUAUAUGGGAGCAAUAAGGUCUACGUGUAGACUGAUGAGAGUACCAUAUGAAUAAGCAUCGGA